RNAcentral lists this ribosomal RNA (465 nucleotides) under uncultured bacterium. RNAcentral's name for it is "partial 16S ribosomal RNA". It matches the Rfam family "Bacterial small subunit ribosomal RNA", at positions 28 to 507 of the family's 1533-position model. The record is from RNAcentral.
GACGAACGCUGGCGGCGUGCUUAACACAUGCAAGUCGAACGGAAAGGCCCUGCUUGCAGGGUACUCGAGUGGCGAACGGGUGAGUAACACGUGGGUGAUCUGCCCUGCACUUCGGGAUAAGCCUGGGAAACUGGGUCUAAUACCGGAUAGGAGCCAUUUUUAGUGUGAUGGUUGGAAAGUUUUUUGGGUGUAGGAUGAGCUCGCGGCCUAUCAGUUUGUUGGUGGGGUAAUGGCCUACCAAGGCGGGGACGGGUAGCCGGCCUGAGAGGGUGGACGGCCACAUUGGGACUGAGAUACGGCCCAGACUCCUACGGGAGGCAGCAGUGGGGAAUAUUGCACAAUGGGCGCAAGCCUGAUGCAGCGACGCCGCGUGGGGGAUGACGGCCUUCGGGUUGUAAACUCCUUUCGCUAGGGACGAAGCUUUUUGUGACGGUACCUAGAUAAGAAGCACCGGCUAACUACGUG